Anguilla rostrata (American eel) is the source of this 2210-nucleotide long non-coding RNA. RefSeq lists it as uncharacterized. The record is from RefSeq and is a predicted model, not a curated record. NCBI's taxonomy places the organism in Eukaryota, Metazoa, Chordata, Actinopteri, Anguilliformes, Anguillidae. The transcript has 3 exons.
UUAGCUAGCAUGCAUUCCCCAUGUAUACACUCGCUAAAAACUCGUUAUUAACAAGUGCAAUGAAUUAAUUUGUAAACCGUAAGUUAUUACAGUAAGGGAACAUUAAAACCAAAAUUUGCCGCCGUCGUACAAGAGUUGUACGAACCAGGAGGCAUUGGACAUUCCCUUAGAAUGGCUGCAGCAACGCCGUUAGCUAGCAUGCAUUCUCCAUGUAUACACUCGCUAAAAACUCCGCUAAAACGUCACAUCCACUCUUUGCGUUUUCAUAUGACCAGGAAUGUCUACCGUUGUGCUUUGACUAUUUUUACAAGGGUUAAAGCCGCAAGCGGCGUUGGGAGGGGUCCAAGCAUUGGCACAAUUGCGCCCCCUAUGGAGUGAUUUUUAAAUAGUUUUGUCCUCAUGAUCAUAUACCUUCACCCAACAUAUCUACUGCAUCGCCAUGGAUGUCUCCAAGCCACUAGGCGUAAAGGCCUUUACUAUGUCACUACGCAAAAGUAUAAAACAGCAUUUAGAUGGUCCGGCGUGUAUGUAGAGCUGCAGCGCUUCCGCGCCGCAACUAAAAUAAGCGUCAGACACAUACUGCAAUCCAUUACUCAGCUUAGCAGAGAAUGCACAUUUCAGAGCGCCUCAGAGAUAGAUAGAAUAAUAACACAUAAAUACACAUUUCAAAUAAUAACUACAACAUUGAGAAAAAAUAAAACUAAAGAUUAAAUAUCAACUCUCGACCUGCGUGCUGCGCGCAGAGUAGCCUACCGCAUUAUUUAUUUAGACAUUGGCAGAUAAGAAAAUUUUUGGUUACGCUGACCUAUAAAAUGCUAUUCCAAAAGCAAAACAGACAAGUUAUACAUUGUUAGAAAACUUAUACUCUCACCUACUGAAUAAAUGAAUUGUCAAUCAAUCCAAAUUGUACUAAAAAGGGCGACGACGCCGUAAACAACAGGUGUGGUAUUACGCACAGCUAUUUUUGAAGGUAACCUACCCUAGCAUCACGAAUGUGCGUAUAUUUCACGAACGGAUUGUCCAAGACAAUAUAUGACCACUCAGUCUCAAAAGGGACAUCUCUACGCGUACAAUCAAUGGUAAGAUUGUAUAUUUAUUCAAUGUUUAGUCCCAGAUAUUGAUUGUAGAAUGACAUGACAUAUAUUUUAAUUUUUAACCUUGUCUCGUUUAUUUCGUUAUUCAGUGAGCAGCGUUUUCACUUCUGUAUUGGCAUAUUGUAGGGCUAAUGUCGGGUUUAUCUUGUUGCUACGGAAUACUGUAAUCUUUUCUUGCAUAGGUUCAGAUAGUCCUCAUCUAGUGACUCCUCAAUUCGGGGAAGUUGGGUUUGCAUUUUUUCGAGUUUUUGCGUUUAGUUGCCUAUAAUCAACACACAUCCUCAUGGCUGCACACUUCUUCACUAUGACUAAAGGAGAAGAAUAGGGACUGCAACUCUCUCGUAUUACUCCCUGCUCUAACCGUUGUCUAAUGUGUGCUUUUACCUCCUCAUACUGAAUAGGCUGCAGCCUAAGGUAGCGUUGGCAAACAUGAGCCUCAUCUGUUACAGGGAUGUCGUGUUGGAUGACAUUGGUGCAACCUAGAUCAUCAUUAUCCCUAGCAAAAACAUCAGCAUGUUUCAGCAACAAGUCCUGCAUGAGCUCUUUGAUCUUGCAAUAAACCACAAGACUCAUGAUGUGUCAAGUUACUAGACCCAACUAUUGGAUCUUUAAUGUCAUUGUCAGAGUAAUUCUGCUCUUCCGAGAACAGAACUAUUUCCUCCUGAGGGCCUACUCUUUGAAAAAGUAUAGAAGUCUGGUCACCUCACACACACCUCAGCACUAUAAAGAGCUGCUAUUCUCAUACGGGGUUCCAAUGCAACAUCCGUUACCCCGACAUUUAAUACAGAGAAAAUCAACUGGCCAUCUUCAAUCCAAACAUAUGCACUUGAUGCCACUAGAUUGCUGGGCAAGGACCCCUCAUUUCUCCCUAGAGGUUCCACAAGAGCAGAGUAGCUUGUAGUAAUGCGAUCCUGAAACCCAGUGGAAACCAGGAAUUUAGCCAUUAAACAUAGCAAAAAAUUUGAACAACAAAGAAAUCUUAAAGAGAAGGAGCUAAUGAAUAAACUUGACAUCCUUAUCUCAAGAACAGGAAGAUGAACUUAAAAUAUUACAGAUGAAAUUGGAGGAUUUAUAUAUGGAACUAGCAAAACGAACCUUCAUAAGAUCCAGGGCAAA